This 241-nucleotide long non-coding RNA is filed under the name Homo sapiens (human). Its description in RNAcentral is "HSALNT0277151". The record is from RNAcentral. Lineage: Eukaryota; Metazoa; Chordata; Mammalia; Primates; Hominidae.
UCCGAGGGUGGUAAUAAAAGAUGGCUGCACGGCUCUCCCCGGGAAACUGAACGGGAGCCAAACCAUCAUGUGGUGAACAAAUGCUGUGAUCGCUCAACUGCAGAGCUGCUGCUGCACCGUAUUAAAAAGGUGACAGCCUCUCCUCUGACCCUUGAACCAUGGAAAUGGGCAGCCACCAGCCCACCCACUCAGAAAGCCCCAAUGCUCUGUCACCAGCAGAGGCCCAACACCCACUCCGACG